UACGAAGGGGGCUAGCGUUGUUCGGAAUUACUGGGCGUAAAGCGCGCGCAGGCGGGUCAUCAAGUCAGAGGUGAAAUCCCAGAGCUCAACUCUGGAACUGCCUUUGAUACUGGCUAUCUUGAGUACGGGAGAGGUGUGUGGAACUCCGAGUGUAGAGGUGAAAUUCGUAGAUAUUCGGAAGAACACCAGUGGCGAAGGCGACACACUGGCCCGUUACUGACGCUGAGGCGCGAAAGCGUGGGGAGCAAACAGG
This 253-nucleotide ribosomal RNA is filed under the name uncultured bacterium. RNAcentral describes it as "partial 16S ribosomal RNA". It matches the Rfam family "Bacterial small subunit ribosomal RNA", at positions 524 to 776 of the family's 1533-position model. The record is from RNAcentral.